Molecule: ribosomal RNA, 254 nt
Filed under: uncultured bacterium
Lineage: Bacteria
Description: partial 16S ribosomal RNA
Rfam family: Bacterial small subunit ribosomal RNA
Source: RNAcentral
UACGUAGGCAGCAAGCGUUGUUCGGAAUUACUGGGCGUAAAGCGCACGUAGGCGGCUUUUUAAGUCAGGGGUGAAAUCCCGGGGCUCAACCCCGGAACUGCCCCUUGAAACUGGGAGGCUAGAAUCUUGGAGAGGCGAGUGGAAUUCCGAGUGUAGAGGUGAAAUUCGUAGAUAUUCGGAAGAACACCAGUGGCGAAGGCGACUUACUGGACACAUAUUGACGCUGAGGUGCGAAAGCGUGGGGAGCAAACAGG